This 73-nucleotide transfer RNA is filed under the name Mesocricetus auratus (golden hamster). It matches the Rfam family "tRNA". From Rfam's summary of the family: Transfer RNA (tRNA) molecules are approximately 80 nucleotides in length. Their secondary structure includes four short double-helical elements and three loops (D, anti-codon, and T loops). Lineage: Eukaryota; Metazoa; Chordata; Mammalia; Rodentia; Cricetidae. The record is from Rfam by way of RNAcentral.
ACCCAGCUAGCUUGGUCAGUAGAGCAUGGGACUCUUAAUCUCAGGGUUGUGGGUUCCUGCUCCACACUGGGCA